UAUGCUUGACGGUACCUGGAGAGGAAGCCCGGGCUAACUCUGUGCCAGCAGCCGCGGGUAAUACAGAGGGGGCAAGCGUUAUUCGGAAUUAUUGGGCGUAAAGGGCGCGUAGGCGGUUUUUUAAGUCAGAUGUGUAAUCCCCGAGCUCAACUUGGGAACUGCAUCUGAGACUGGAAGGCUAGAGUACUGGAGAGGGUGGUGGAAUUCCUCGUGUAGCGGUGAAAUGCGUAGAGAUGAGGAGGAACACCAGUGGCGAAGGCGGCCACCUGGACAGUAACUGACGCUGAGGCGCGAAAGUGUGGGUAGCAAACAGGAUUAGAUACCCUGGUAGUCCACGCUGUAAACGAUGAACACUUGGUGUGGAGGGAGUUGACCCCUUCCGUGCCGGAGCUAACGCGUUAAGUGUUCCGCCUGGGGAGUACGGUCGCAAGGCUGAAACUCAAAGGAAUUGACGGGGGCCCGCACAAGCGGUGGAGCAUGUGGUUUAAUUCGACGCAACGCGAAGAACCUUACCUGGGCUUGAACUGUAGUGGACCGGUGCAGAGAUGUGCCUUUUCGCAAGAACUGCUACAGAGGUGCUGCGUGGCUGUCGUCAGCUCGUGUCGUGAGAUGUUGGGUUAAGUCCCGCAACGAGCGCAACCCUUACCCGUAGUUGCCAGCGCGUCAUGGCGGGAACUCUACGGGGACUGCCCGGGUUAACCGGGAGGAAGGUGGGGAUGAUGUCAAGUCCUCAUGGCCCUUAUGUCCAGGGCUACACACGUGCUACAAUGGGCGAUACAAACCGUUGCAAAGUCGCGAGAUGGAGCUAAUCGGAGAAAGUCGUCCUCAGUUCGGAUUGUAGUCUGCAACUCGACUACAUGAAGGUGGAAUCGCUAGUAAUCGUGUAUCAGAAUGAUACGGUGAAUACGUUCCCGGGCCUUGUACACACCGCCCGUCACACCAUGGGAGUGGAAUCUGGCAGAAGUAGGUAGCCUAACCGCAAGGAGGGCGCUUACCACG
This 999-nucleotide ribosomal RNA is filed under the name uncultured bacterium. RNAcentral's name for it is "bacterial SSU rRNA". It matches the Rfam family "Bacterial small subunit ribosomal RNA", at positions 464 to 1461 of the family's 1533-position model. The record is from RNAcentral.